AACAUGGUGGCUUAGUGGUUAUAACAUUUGCCUUGCACCUCCAGGAUUUGGGGUUCGAUUCCCACCAUGUGU
Molecule: non-coding RNA, 72 nt
Organism: Ameiurus melas (black bullhead)
Lineage: Eukaryota; Metazoa; Chordata; Actinopteri; Siluriformes; Ictaluridae
Source: the annotation of a GenBank genome assembly